RNAcentral lists this ribosomal RNA (170 nucleotides) under uncultured bacterium. RNAcentral describes it as "partial 16S ribosomal RNA". It matches the Rfam family "Bacterial small subunit ribosomal RNA", at positions 338 to 525 of the family's 1533-position model. The record is from RNAcentral. RNAcentral also lists the same sequence under 1 other name.
CCUACGGGAGGCAGCAGUGGGGAAUAUUGGACAAUGGGCGAAAGCCUGAUCUAGCCAUGCCGCAUGAGUGAAGAAGGCCUUUGGGUUGUAAAGCUCUUUUAGUGAGGAAGAUAAUGACGGUACUCACAGAAGAAGUCCUGGCUAACUCCGUGCCAGCAGCCGCGGUAAUA